Molecule: ribosomal RNA, 253 nt
Filed under: uncultured bacterium
Lineage: Bacteria
Description: partial 16S ribosomal RNA
Rfam family: Bacterial small subunit ribosomal RNA
Source: RNAcentral
UACGAAGGGGGCUAGCGUUGUUCGGAUUUACUGGGCGUAAAGCGCACGUAGGCGGAUCGUUAAGUCGGGGGUGAAAUCCUGGAGCUCAACUCCAGAACUGCCUUCGAUACUGGCGAUCUGGAGUCCGGAAGAGGUGAGUGGAACUCCUAGUGUAGAGGUGGAAUUCGUAGAUAUUAGGAAGAACACCAGUGGCGAAGGCGGCUCACUGGUCCGGUACUGACGCUGAGGUGCGAAAGCGUGGGGAGCAAACAGG